GGUGUUGGAGACAAGCAAGAGUGGGAAAAACACAAGUCAAAGGAUGAAGCCGACAAGAGAAGCUGGCCUGGUCGACAGGCCAUUUUGUCGACUAAGGUGAAGUUUGAGACUUAAAGAAUUAUAGCCAAAUGUGUAGAAGACAGCAUCGCCCUAACGUCUGGGCGGGAGAAAUUUGAAAUUUAAAAAUAACCAGCAGUUACAAGAAGAAUAAGAGCGCCAAAAUUUGGAGCAGUUAGCAAGACAUGGGUGCAACGGUUGUGCAGAUCGUGUGACAUAACAUGUGCUAGUUUCUAGGAGUUUUAGCUUAUGAGCAGUUCCUUUAGUUUAGUAUAAAUAGAAUGUCCCACAAGGGGCUCAGGGUGUUCACUUUGUACUGAAAAUCACUUGUAAGAAACUUUCCCAUUCCCAGCGC
Molecule: long non-coding RNA, 412 nt
Organism: Lathyrus oleraceus (garden pea)
Lineage: Eukaryota; Viridiplantae; Streptophyta; Magnoliopsida; Fabales; Fabaceae
Exons: 2
Source: RefSeq, a predicted model, not a curated record